Molecule: ribosomal RNA, 725 nt
Filed under: Ruminococcaceae bacterium UBA4925
Lineage: Bacteria; Bacillati; Bacillota; Clostridia; Eubacteriales; Oscillospiraceae
Description: bacterial SSU rRNA
Rfam family: Bacterial small subunit ribosomal RNA
Source: RNAcentral
AGUCCAUGCUGUAAACGAUGAUUACUAGGUGGGGGGGGUCUGACCCCUCCCGUGCCGGAGUUAACACAAUAAGUAAUCCACCUGGGGAGUACGACCGCAAGGUUGAAACUCAAAGGAAUUGACGGGGGCCCGCACAAGCAGUGGAGUAUGUGGUUUAAUUCGAAGCAACGCGAAGAACCUUACCAGGUCUUGACAUCCAACUAACGAAGCAGAGAUGCAUUAGGUGCCCUUCGGGGAAAGUUGAGACAGGUGGUGCAUGGUUGUCGUCAGCUCGUGUCGUGAGAUGUUGGGUUAAGUCCCGCAACGAGCGCAACCCUUACUGUUAGUUGCUACGCAAGAGCACUCUAGCAGGACUGCCGUUGACAAAACGGAGGAAGGUGGGGACGACGUCAAAUCAUCAUGCCCCUUAUGACCUGGGCUACACACGUACUACAAUGGCCGUUAACAGAGAGAAGCGAUACCGCGAGGUGGAGCGAACCUCAAAAAGCGGUCUCAGUUCGGAUUGCAGGCUGAAACCCGCCUGCAUGAAGUUGGAAUUGCUAGUAAUCGCGGAUCAUAAUGCCGCGGUGAAUACGUUCCCGGGCCUUGUACACACCGCCCGUCACACCAUGGGAGCCGGUAAUACCCGAAGUCAGUAGUCUAACCGCAAGGAGGACGCUGCCGAAGGUAGGAUUGGCGACUGGGGUGAAGUCGUAACAAGGUAGCCGUAUCAGAAGGUGCGGCUG